This 205-nucleotide microRNA precursor is filed under the name Oryza sativa Indica Group (long-grained rice). RNAcentral describes it as "MIR812 microRNA precursor family". It matches the Rfam family "MIR812 microRNA precursor family". Lineage: Eukaryota; Viridiplantae; Streptophyta; Magnoliopsida; Poales; Poaceae. The record is from Rfam by way of RNAcentral.
AAAAAGGCAAACCCUAGGUUUCCGUGUCCAACUUUGACUGUCUGUCUUAUAUGAAAUUUUUUUAUAAUUCGUAUUUUCAUUGUUGUUAGAUGAUAAAACAUGAUUAAUAUUUUAUGCGUGACUUGUCUUUUUAAUUUUUUUUAUAAUUUUUUCAAAUAAGACGAACGGUCAAACAUUGGACACGGAAACCAGGGUUUGUCUUUUU